Molecule: ribosomal RNA, 468 nt
Filed under: uncultured bacterium
Lineage: Bacteria
Description: partial 16S ribosomal RNA
Rfam family: Bacterial small subunit ribosomal RNA
Source: RNAcentral
GACGAACGCUGGCGGCGUGCUUAACACAUGCAAGUCGAACGGAAAGGCCCUGCUUUUGUGGGGUGCUCGAGUGGCGAACGGGUGAGUAACACGUGAGUAACCUGCCCUGGACUUUGGGAUAACUUCAGGAAACUGGGGCUAAUACCGGAUAGGAGCUCCUGCUGCAUGGUGGGGGUUGGAAAGUUUCGGCGGUUGGGGAUGGACUCGCGGCUUAUCAGCUUGUUGGUGGGGUAGUGGCUUACCAAGGGUUUGACGGGUAGCCGGCAUGAGAGGGUGACCGGCCACAUUGGGACUGAGAUACGGACCAGACUCCUACGGGAGGCAGCAGUGGGGAAUAUUGCACAAUGGGCGGAAGCCUGAUGCAGCAACGCCGCGUGCGGGAUGACGGCCUUCGGGUUGUAAACCGCUUUCGCCUGUGACGAAGCGUGAGUGACGGUAAUGGGUAAAGAAGCACCGGCUAACUACGUG